Molecule: long non-coding RNA, 239 nt
Filed under: Carica papaya (papaya)
Lineage: Eukaryota; Viridiplantae; Streptophyta; Magnoliopsida; Brassicales; Caricaceae
Description: long non-coding RNA (CPAP_LNC014750)
Source: RNAcentral
UAUAUUGUAGUAACUGAAAAAAAAAAAGAGAAAAAGUGGGGGGAAACGACAUCGUUUUGAGAAAGCAGGUGAGAUAAAUAGGGGACGUGAAAGAAAAGAAAGAGGGAAGAGAAGAAAAAAAAAGGAAAGAAAAGAGAAAAACAGAGAAGGAAGAGAGCGGGAAGGAGAAAAGAAGAGAGAAAAGAAGGUUCGAGAAAGAGAGAGAGGGGAGUCGGAGCGGAGAGGAGUGAGAAGGGAGA